This 497-nucleotide ribosomal RNA is filed under the name uncultured bacterium. Its description in RNAcentral is "partial 16S ribosomal RNA". It matches the Rfam family "Bacterial small subunit ribosomal RNA", at positions 28 to 507 of the family's 1533-position model. The record is from RNAcentral.
GAUGAACGCUGGCGGCGUGCCUAAUACAUGCAAGUCGAGCGAACAGACGAGGAGCUUGCUCCUCUGACGUUAGCGGCGGACGGGUGAGUAACACGUGGAUAACCUACCUAUCAGACUGGGAUAACUUCGGGAAACCGGAGCUAAUCCCGGAUAAUAUAUUGAACCGCAUUGUUCAAUAGUGAAAGACGGUUUUGCUGUCACUUAUAGAUGGAUCCGCGCCGCAUUAGCUAGUUGGUAAGGUAACGGCUUACCACGGCAACGAUGCGUAGCCGACCUGAGAGGGUGAUCGGCCACACGGGAACUGAGACACGGUCCAGACUCCUACGGGAGGCAGCAGUAGGGAAUCGUCCGCAAUAGGCGAAAGCCUGACGGAGCAACGCCGCGUGAGUGAUGAAGGUCUUCGGAUCGUAAAACUCUGUUAUUAGGGAAGAACAAAUGUGUAAGUAACUAUGCACGUCUUGACGGUACCUAAUCAGAAAGCCACGGCUAACUACGUG